Molecule: transfer RNA, 74 nt
Filed under: Blastopirellula sediminis
Lineage: Bacteria; Pseudomonadati; Planctomycetota; Planctomycetia; Pirellulales; Pirellulaceae
Description: tRNA-Leu
Rfam family: tRNA
About the family: Transfer RNA (tRNA) molecules are approximately 80 nucleotides in length. Their secondary structure includes four short double-helical elements and three loops (D, anti-codon, and T loops). Further hydrogen bonds mediate the characteristic L-shaped molecular structure. tRNAs have two regions of fundamental functional importance: the anti-codon, which is responsible for specific mRNA codon recognition, and the 3' end, to which the tRNAs corresponding amino acid is attached (by aminoacyl-tRNA synthetases). tRNAs cope with the degeneracy of the genetic code in two manners: having more than one tRNA (with a specific anti-codon) for a particular amino acid; and 'wobble' base-pairing, i.e. permitting non-standard base-pairing at the 3rd anti-codon position.
Source: RNAcentral
GGCUCGGUAGGCAACUGGCAGACCAAGCUGACUUAGAAUCAGCUAUGCUGUGGGUUCGAAUCCCACCCGGGCUA